Molecule: non-coding RNA, 271 nt
Organism: Meleagris gallopavo (turkey)
Lineage: Eukaryota; Metazoa; Chordata; Aves; Galliformes; Phasianidae
Source: RefSeq, a predicted model, not a curated record
CAGACCUCAUUUAACAUUUGGCAGCAGAGACAAAAGUAUUUCAUCUGGAGAUGCCUGCCUACCUGUGACUUUGCAGGGAAAUGCGUUCCACCCCUCUGUGUAUCUCUACGGCCCUCCUCUGGACCUACACCAACAGCUCAUUGUCCUUCUUGCACAGAGAGCCUCAGAACUGGAUGCAGUACUCCAGAAUCUAUUGCAGCAGCAUUGAGGAGUUCACUGGGAUGAACCACAGCAGGAUUAUAGGAUUUACCAAUGUACAGAGCUUUUGUAA